RNAcentral lists this transfer RNA (66 nucleotides) under Scolytinae sp. BMNH 1043104. RNAcentral's name for it is "tRNA-Gly". The record is from RNAcentral. Lineage: Eukaryota; Metazoa; Arthropoda; Insecta; Coleoptera; Curculionidae.
ACUUAUAUAAUAUAAAUAAUUAUAUUUGACUUCCAAUCAAAAAAUCUAUUUUAAAUAGUAUAAGUA